Molecule: long non-coding RNA, 289 nt
Organism: Micropterus salmoides (largemouth bass)
Lineage: Eukaryota; Metazoa; Chordata; Actinopteri; Centrarchiformes; Centrarchidae
Exons: 3
Source: RefSeq, a predicted model, not a curated record
UUUGAAAAUUCAACUGAAUCAACAGGUUUUCCUCAACAAAACAUCAGAAUCUCUGACAAACACCGAAUCCCUUCCGUGCUGCUGUUAGAACUCAACUGAUGAUGUGAAUCAGCCUUCAGGCUCCAUUGUUGGGACUUCAGUCUGCAGCUGCAGAAACAACUUCCAACUGCCUGAAAUGUACUGAAACCAAACAGUUCAGACUGAGCGAUGGCCUCUGAAGCCGGCGGGACGAUGGAGGUGGCGGCGCUCGGCCGGCCUUUCAGCCUCGGGAUGUUGUACGACUGCCGCA